CGGCCAACAGGUUGGUCUGUCUGUCGCUCUCCUUGUGUGGCUGUGUGUGUGUGUGUGUGUGUGUGUGUGUGUGUGUGUGUGUGUGUGUGUGUGUAAGAUUCAAGGAUUAAGAACAGUUACUUCUCUUCCACAGGACCUAGGAUAGGCUGACAGCACUCACAUGAUAGCUCACAGCCAUCUCCAGUUCCCCUAUAGGGAACUGAUAUCUCUUCUGACCUUUGUAAGCUUAAGCAGGUAUGUAGCACAUACACAUAAAAUCAGAUACUUAAAAGAAAACACAACAGGACAGGACACAACACAAUACAACACAACACAACACAACAGAAAGGACUGUAGAGUGACCUGAGACAGUACAUUCUGAAAGCUCUCCUGAAUGUAGUCAGGAGAGUACAAGUGCUUCAGUGGAGACAGACGUGUAGCUCUUGUGCAUUCUGUAGAAAAAGUCUUUAUUUUUAAUUCUAAAUAGUAAUUUUCUCUUAUAUCUUACACAAAACAUUUAUUUCUAAGAUAAGGAAUAAGCCACCUACAAUCUAUAUCAAUGUAGAGAUGACCUUUCAGUAAUUCAAUGAAUGUAAGCUUUGUAACCUCAUAGAAUUUCCUGAUGUAGUAAAGCUUUUGUAUAAUGAAAUUCUGUCCAUUGGAUUUUAUUAUGCAUUGAAUAAAGUGUUUUCUCUUUAAGGUUUGGGUGUGUGUGUGUGUCUCUGUGAAUGUGUAUGGUACAUAUAUGCAGAUGCCCUUACAGGCCAGAUGAUGAUUCAGGAUGCCCUGAAUGAGCUGUUGUAAAUGGCAAUUGGAUCCCACCCAACCUCAGUACCCAGAAAUGAACUUGGGCCAUCUAGAAGGGCAGCCAUUGUUCUUACUUGCCAAGUCAUUCUUUUCAAAUGAACAAGGACCCAACAUGUCUACUACCAGCUCCAGCCUCCAUUCCAGCACAAAGUGACAAAUCAGGGCACCUGUUACUUCUGCUUCAUCCAGGCAAGGGCCAGUUGCAGUUCCAAAGACCUGCUGUCGUUUAGAAUGUAUUGAGAACCAAAAGGAGUAACAUAUCUUUCAAUAAGGACAAGAAGUGACACAGACACCACCAACAAGGAAGACUCCUGGGCCAAAGCCACAGUGACCAAGGAAAAUAAAAACAAACACCUUUCAUAUGUGAA
This is a non-coding RNA of Rattus norvegicus (Norway rat), 1154 nucleotides long. The record is from RefSeq and is a predicted model, not a curated record. Lineage: Eukaryota; Metazoa; Chordata; Mammalia; Rodentia; Muridae.